Molecule: ribosomal RNA, 1381 nt
Filed under: uncultured organism
Description: 16S ribosomal RNA
Rfam family: Bacterial small subunit ribosomal RNA
Source: RNAcentral
GGCGACCGGCGCACGGGUGAGUAACACGUAUCCAACCUGCCGUCUACUCUUGGACAGCCUUCUGAAAGGAAGAUUAAUACAAGAUGGCAUCAUGAGUCCGCAUGUUCACAUGAUUAAAGGUAUUCCGGUAGACGAUGGGGAUGCGUUCCAUUAGAUAGUAGGCGGGGUAACGGCCCACCUAGUCUUCGAUGGAUAGGGGUUCUGAGAGGAAGGUCCCCCACAUUGGAACUGAGACACGGUCCAAACUCCUACGGGAGGCAGCAGAGAGGAAUAUUGGUCAAUGGGCGAGAGCCAGAACCAGCCAAGUAGCGUGAAGGAUGACUGCCCUAUGGGUUGUAAACUUCUUUUAUAAAGGAAUAAAGUCUGGUAUGGAUACCCGUUUGCAUGUACUUUAUGAAUAAGGAUCGGCUAACUCCGUGCCAGCAGCCGCGGUAAUACGGAGGAUCCGAGCGUUAUCCGGAUUUAUUGGGUUUAAAGGGAGCGUAGAUGGAUGUUUAAGUCAGUUGUGAAAGUUUGCGGCUCAACCGUAAAAUUGCAGUUGAUACUGGAUAUCUUGAGUGCAGUUGAGGCAGGCGGAAUUCGUGGUGUAGCGGUGAAAUGCUUAGAUAUCACGAAGAACUCCGAUUGCGAAGGCAGCCUGCUAAGCUGCAACUGACAUUGAGGCUCGAAAGUGUGGGUAUCAAACAGGAUUAGAUACCCUGGUAGUCCACACGGUAAACGAUGAAUACUCGCUGUUUGCGAUAUACGGCAAGCGGCCAAGCGAAAGCGUUAAGUAUUCCACCUGGGGAGUACGCCGGCAACGGUGAAACUCAAAGGAAUUGACGGGGGCCCGCACAAGCGGAGGAACAUGUGGUUUAAUUCGAUGACACGCGAGGAACCUUACCCGGGCUUAAAUUGCAGAUGAAUUACGGUGAAAGCCGUAAGCCGCAAGGCAUCUGUGAAGGUGCUGCAUGGUUGUCGUCAGCUCGUGCCGUGAGGUGUCGGCUUAAGUGCCAUAACGAGCGCAACCCUUGUUGUCAGUUACUAACAGGUUUCGCUGAGGACUCUGACAAGACUGCCAUCGUAAGAUGUGAGGAAGGUGGGGAUGACGUCAAAUCAGCACGGCCCUUACGUCCGGGGCUACACACGUGUUACAAUGGGGGGUACAGAGGGCCGCUACCACGCGAGUGGAUGCCAAUCCCAAAAACCUCUCUCAGUUCGGACUGGAGUCUGCAACCCGACUCCACGAAGCUGGAUUCGCUAGUAAUCGCGCAUCAGCCACGGCGCGGUGAAUACGUUCCCGGGCCUUGUACACACCGCCCGUCAAGCCAUGGGAGCCGGGGGUACCUGAAGUGCGUAACCGCGAGGAGCGCCCUAGGGUAAAACUGGUGACUGGGGCUAA